RNAcentral lists this transfer RNA (62 nucleotides) under Dipodomys ordii (Ord's kangaroo rat). It matches the Rfam family "tRNA". From Rfam's summary of the family: Transfer RNA (tRNA) molecules are approximately 80 nucleotides in length. Their secondary structure includes four short double-helical elements and three loops (D, anti-codon, and T loops). Lineage: Eukaryota; Metazoa; Chordata; Mammalia; Rodentia; Heteromyidae. The record is from Rfam by way of RNAcentral.
GGAGUCAUAGCUCAAUGGUAGAGCACCUGCCUAGCAAGUAGGAGGCGACUGGAAUGACUCCA